AUGGACGCACGGAUGAGGCUGAUAAUUCAAGCAGUAGCACUGAUAAGUGUGAUUUAGGCAUGGGUCAUGUUCAUGCACCAGAGAGUUGUUCAUCGUGCUGGGAGAUCUUUGAUCCGCUAUGGUCCAAUGUUUAUCCGGGAACAGGAGAGGAUCCAUAAUCUGAACUACAUCUACAACUGCAAUGAUGUCGAGGCUCUGUGGAUGCUUCGAAUGAAAAGAGCACCAUUUGCCAGGCUUGUCGAGACCUUCAGGAGCAGGGGGCUGCUACAAGAUAACAUCAACACCAGUGUGGAAGAGCAAGUGGCCAUGUUCCUCCAUGUUGUUGGCCAUAACCAGAGGUUCAGGGUCAUUCACAACACGUUGAGGAGAUCAAUGGAAACCAUCUCUAGGUACUUCAAGCAAGUGCUUUUUCCUGUUGGGGAGCUUAGAGGAGAGAUGAUCAGGAGACCAUCUGGCCAGAUUCCACCCAAGAUUCGCGGAAGCCCAAGAUGGUAUCCAUACUUCAAGGUGAGCAUUGACAAUAUAACACUUUUCAUGGCUUGA
RNAcentral lists this ribosomal RNA (543 nucleotides) under Triticum aestivum (bread wheat). Its description in RNAcentral is "partial small subunit ribosomal RNA". The record is from RNAcentral. Lineage: Eukaryota; Viridiplantae; Streptophyta; Magnoliopsida; Poales; Poaceae.